Molecule: ribosomal RNA, 492 nt
Filed under: uncultured bacterium
Lineage: Bacteria
Description: partial 16S ribosomal RNA
Rfam family: Bacterial small subunit ribosomal RNA
Source: RNAcentral
GGUGAACGCUGGCGGUAGGCCUAACACAUGCAAGUCGAACGGCAGCACAGUAAGAGCUUGCUCUUACGGGUGGCGAGUGGCGGACGGGUGAGGAAUACAUCGGAAUCUACUUUUUCGUGGGGGAUAACGUAGGGAAACUUACGCUAAUACCGCAUACGACCUACGGGUGAAAGCAGGGGAUCUUCGGACCUUGCGCGAUUGAAUGAGCCGAUGUCGGAUUAGCUAGUUGGCGGGGUAAAGGCCCACCAAGGCGACGAUCCGUAGCUGGUCUGAGAGGAUGAUCAGCCACACUGGAACUGAGACACGGUCCAGACUCCUACGGGAGGCAGCAGUGGGGAAUAUUGGACAAUGGGCGCAAGCCUGAUCCAGCCAUACCGCGUGGGCGAAGAAGGCCUUCGGGUUGUAAAGCCCUUUUGUUGGGAAAGAAAAGCAGCAGGUUAAUACCCCGCUGUUCUGACGGUACCCAAAGAAUAAGCACCGGCUAACUUCGUG